CCCUAGCCCUGAUAGAAGCGGCAUCCUUUAGGCAAACGAAAAAAUCUAAAUUAAACCGUGAACAUUCUACCUAAAAAAAAUAUAGCGGAUAGCAGGAAAAAGC
Molecule: small RNA, 103 nt
Filed under: Flavobacterium sp. fv08
Lineage: Bacteria; Pseudomonadati; Bacteroidota; Flavobacteriia; Flavobacteriales; Flavobacteriaceae
Also listed under: 1 other name
Description: Flavo-1 RNA
Rfam family: Flavo-1 RNA
Source: RNAcentral